GAACUCAAAAGAGGUGUAGGAGGAGAGAAGCUCAAUUAUCACCCUGGUCUCCUGGAGUAUCCCAGGCACAGUCCCAAGAGUUCAGCUUUUCAUACUCGAGUUCCUGGGUCCUGAAGGCCUUUUUGGGGAAAGUACUGAUGUUCGUGUCAAGGUUGGGAAGAAAGGGUUUGGGAGGAACCAAGCAACAGGGAGGCAAAGAGAAGACAUCAACAAGCGAGGCAAGAACUUUCCACAGGCUCACACUGGAUACAGGACCAGAGACAAGAAGCUGGCGAAGCCUAUAUGGGUUCCCGAUGUCACAUCGCAGCUACCGCAUUGGAGGGUUAAGAGCCGCUGACAAAUCUCUUUCGGGAAGGGAAGAAGAGUUCCAAACAAAAGAUCUACUACCCUGAGAAGCGGUGAAGUGCUCCUGGGGCCCACCAAGGCCACACAAGUCAAGGAGUGGAUGGCCUUGCCCCAGCUAUGGCUCAGAUCACCUUUGCAGGAUGACAUCUUGUUGGGAGAUGGUCAUCAGAGACAGGGCCAUGGAAGACGCUGUCAGGAGGAGGCACAGAGGAAAGGCUAUGGGAGCACAAAGCAAGAAAGUGGCCUUCUGCAAGCCAGGAAGAGAGGCCUCCCCAGAAACCAACUCUACCAGCACAUUGAUCUUGGACUUUUGGCCUCUAGAACAUUGAGAAAAUAAAAGUCUGCUGUUAAACCACCCAACCUUUGGUAUCUUUCUAUGGCAGCCUGAGCUGACUAACACCCUUGGUAGGUGGGCAGCAUUCACCUUAUUGGGCUACAUGAUGAGAAGUUAAAGUAACUUUAGCAAUAGGCACCAUUUGAUUUCAUUGUAUAGAUAUUGUGUCUUUUGCACUGAUUUUGCCUUUUUUAGUUGUGUGUAUAUUGAUGCCUGGGCCUAGCAUUACAAGACUAGUCGAAAUGGGAAG
RNAcentral lists this long non-coding RNA (929 nucleotides) under Homo sapiens (human). RNAcentral's name for it is "HSALNT0014476". Lineage: Eukaryota; Metazoa; Chordata; Mammalia; Primates; Hominidae. The record is from RNAcentral.